UACGGGAGGCAGCAGGGGGAAUAUUGCACAAUGGGCGAAAGCCUGAUGCAGCUAUGCCGCGUGUAUGAAGAAGGCCUUAGGGUUGUAAAGUACUUUCAUCGGGGAGGAAAAAACAAAACUAAUAAUUUUAUUUCUUGACGUUACCCGAAAAAGAAGCACCGGCUAACUCCGUGCCAGCAGCCGCGGUAAUACGGAGGGUGCUAGCGUUAAUCAGAAUUACUGGGCGUAAAGAGCACGUAGGUGGUUUUUUUAAAGUCAGAUGUGAAAAUCCCUGGGCUUUAACCUAGGAACUGCAUUUUUGAAAACUGAAAUACUAGAGUAUCGUAGAGGGAGGUAGAAUUCUAGGUGUAGCGGUGAAAUGCGUAGAUAUCUGGAGGAAUACCUGUGGCGAAAGCGGCCUCCUAAACGAAUACUGACACUGAGGUGCGAAAAGCGUGGGGAGCAAAACAGGGAUUAGAUACC
RNAcentral lists this ribosomal RNA (462 nucleotides) under uncultured bacterium. RNAcentral describes it as "bacterial SSU rRNA". It matches the Rfam family "Bacterial small subunit ribosomal RNA", at positions 340 to 786 of the family's 1533-position model. The record is from RNAcentral.